This 275-nucleotide long non-coding RNA is filed under the name Trifolium pratense (red clover). RNAcentral's name for it is "long non-coding RNA (TPRA_LNC001330)". Lineage: Eukaryota; Viridiplantae; Streptophyta; Magnoliopsida; Fabales; Fabaceae. The record is from RNAcentral.
UCCAUGAUAGUUAAACUUCCUAAAAUUUUCUCAACAUACUAUAUUUAUGAUAGAAUUAUAAAUGUCACACAUCCUUGUAAGUUUGCGCUACAAUUCAUACUUGAUCCUCUUAUGCUUCACAUCAGAUUAGAUGUUUCAUUUUCCUUUACAUAAGUGUUAGUAUCAUAACAUAUAGUCAAUAAAACUAUAUCACAAACAAAAUGCACAGGUAAAGAAAAUUUCAGUGCAACCCGAAUCAAAUAUCAUAAACUCAAUGCAUAUACCAAAUGAUUUUC